RNAcentral lists this transfer RNA (73 nucleotides) under Camelus bactrianus (Bactrian camel). It matches the Rfam family "tRNA". From Rfam's summary of the family: Transfer RNA (tRNA) molecules are approximately 80 nucleotides in length. The record is from Rfam by way of RNAcentral. RNAcentral also lists the same sequence under 2 other names. Lineage: Eukaryota; Metazoa; Chordata; Mammalia; Artiodactyla; Camelidae.
GAGGGUAUAGUUCAAUUGAUAGAGUGCCUGCUUAGCAUGCAUGAGGUCCUGGGUUCAAUCCCCAGUACCGUCA